RNAcentral lists this transfer RNA (84 nucleotides) under Trametes sanguinea. RNAcentral describes it as "tRNA-Gln". It matches the Rfam family "tRNA". Rfam says of the family: Transfer RNA (tRNA) molecules are approximately 80 nucleotides in length. Their secondary structure includes four short double-helical elements and three loops (D, anti-codon, and T loops). Lineage: Eukaryota; Fungi; Basidiomycota; Agaricomycetes; Polyporales; Polyporaceae. The record is from RNAcentral.
GGUGCUAUAGUGUAGUGGUUAUCACUCGGGAUUUUGACUUCGUAUCGAUUUCCCGAAACCCAGGUUCGAACCCUGGUAGCACCU